This 3391-nucleotide long non-coding RNA is filed under the name Homo sapiens (human). Its description in RNAcentral is "HSALNT0121733". The record is from RNAcentral. Lineage: Eukaryota; Metazoa; Chordata; Mammalia; Primates; Hominidae.
CUCCUAUGCAAGACUGAUUUCGUAUUUCUACUGUACUAGAGGAAAGAUGGUAGUAGAGGAUUACAGAGAGGAAGGCAGCUCCAUUUCCUCUCCACAGCUGACAGAGUGCAGGAAGAUGUGAAAGGCCUGAUGAUCCUCACAGAAUCGUAUUUGGGUAUUCUCCAAAUCCAUUGCCAUGUGUGGAACAUGCAUCCCUGAGGACACGCUGAUGCUUCAGGAUCAUCAGGCAAUGAAGAAAAGGAUCCAUGCUCACGAUGGAAACAUAGUAGUGAGCAGGGAGCAGUGUGCAUGAGGCAAUGGUCUUGAGACUGCAAGAGGAGACCUGUGGGAGAGGAAGCUGUGUCCCAGGAAUGACAAGAACAGUGUGUGAACCCUGACCAUUAGCUGAGGUGCUGGCAACAACCACCAGGAGUCCCCAAAAACACCCAGCAAGAAUCCCCUCAGAAAAGGCUGAAAUGUCUAUAACCUAAGUAGUCAUGGGAAUUUGAGCCAUUGCUAUGCUGUUAUUUAGGCAUGAAAAGGAAGUGUUCCCUUAAUUUUCAGUCACAUGCACGUGAAGCCAGGUCACUUGCAGGAUGUAUUUAUAAUUUCGAUGUAAAUUUAAUUUAUACGAUAUUGACCUUUUUCUGAAAUUUACAUUUUUUCAUAAUAGCAAAUAAUAUGGUAAAUAAUUUCCUACAUUAGUAAAUAUUAAUAAUUAUACUAAAUCAAUAAGAAGAAUAUUAAAUAUUCUCUAACAUAAUUUAGAUGGUUAUAUAAUUUGCCAUUAUGUGGGACUACUAUAAUUUAGACAAUGAAUCAUGUAUCAUGUGACAUAUAUUAUUUUUAUAAACAAAAUUUUUUAACUGCAUCUUUGCACAAUUUACGUUUGUUUCCUUAGCAUAUAAGAAAAGUCCGCUUUUACCCUAUAUCCCUCAUCUUAGAGGCUGUUCCCAUGUCCCCUUCUCAGAGAGUUUGCUCCCAUGGACACUAAGGUAAAGCAAAGGAUGUAACAAGAGCUGCCAUGUUCCUGAGGCCUCCCAGAUCACAGUUCCAUCUCACGCAUAAUCUCACACAUUUCUCUCUAAGGUUCUGAGUUGGUAUCACAAGUUUCCCCUUUGUUGGGUCAAAUAAGUUUCUGGGUUGUUGUUUUGCAGUGUUUUUUAUUGGUGCUUUUUUGUUUUGACAAUAAAGUGAUCAUGAUUGGACACUUAUGAUAUAGCCUGUAGGAGGAAUUGUUGGAUUCAAGUGAAUAAAAGCAUUCACAGAGAGUAUAUUCAUGUACACAGGUACACAUACGCAACCCACACUGGUAUUUUUGGUCAAAUACCAGUCCAGUUGCUGCUGUGAAGAUACUUUUUGGAUUUGGUUAACAUUUAAAUUAGUAGACUUUGAGUAAAGCAGAUGACCUUUCACAAUGUGAGUGGGGCUUGUCCAAUCAUUUGAAGGUCUUGACCUUAACAUCUACAGGACAUAUGCACACAUAUUGAAUACUGCCCUCCAAAAUGGUUUCACCAGUCUCCAUUCCUGUACACAUUUUCUAAAUCUAUUAGCAAGGGCAUCAUUUUCCCAAACUUUUAGGUGAAAAAAAAAAAUAGUAUUUUAAUGCUCUUUUAUUUGCAAAUUUUUACAAUUAAUGAGGUCGAAUUUUUUCCAGCACAGAUAUGGUCAUUUGUUUCUUCUUUCAUAAAUUGCCUCUUUUUAUCCUUUAUUUUCCUAUUUGGAUAAUUAUGCCUUUCUUAUUGAUUUCUAGAUAAUUUCCUCACCUAUAGUUUGCAAAUAUAUCCCAUUUUUGAGUGUUAAUGUGCUCAAGUAUAUCAACAGGUUUACAACUCCUGCCUAAGUGUGAUAUUUUAAAAAAUCUUCUUUGUCCCAAGAUUAUGUUUAUAUUCAUGUGUAUUUUCUUUCAUAUUUUGUAUACUCUUUUUUUAUAUUUACAUUUUUAAUUUGUCUGGAAUCUAUGUGGUUUAUGGUCUAAGUCAGAAAAUUAAAUUCAUAUUUUUCAAAAUGCUUUGUCAGUUGCCUCAACACCUUGUAUUCAUUAAAUACAUUCUGUCUUCACUUAUUUGAAAUUCUGCAUUUAUCAUAUAUUAAAUUCUUAAGUAUAUUUGCUCUCUUUUAGAAAUCUGGUUUAUUUCUUUAAUUUGAUAUUCUAGUAUUAUGCUGUUUCUAAAUCCUGUGUCUUCGUAAAUAUGUGUGAAGGUCUUGAUAAAGCAAAUUUUCCCCUCUUCAUUAAUUUCCUAAUAUUUACUUUUGAUAUUUUUAUUUCUUUAUUUUUCCAGGCCAACUUUGAGAUUAUAUGGGCAUUGGGUCCUUCCACACCCAUAAAAAUCAUCAACUUCUCUUCCUUUGUCUCCUAAUCAUCAUUGUAAUUUUCAUCCUGGUGAGCAUUUCACUGAAUUUAUCUUAAAUGUUUAGAAUUAGAAUAAGGAGAAGAGAAUAGAAAUACUUGUAUCAGUCAGGGACCUCCAGAGAAACAGAACAAAUUAGAAUAUGCAUGUCUAUGGAGAGAGGUUUAUUUUACGGAAUUGGCUCUUAAGAUUGCAGAGCUGACAGGUCCUAAAUCUGCAGGACAGGCCAGCAGGCUGGAGACUCAGGGAAGAUCUGAUGUUGCCCAGUCAAGUCUGAAGGCAGUCAGGAGGAGAAUUCCUUCUUCUGCUGGGGAUGUCAAGCUUUCCUCUUAAGACCUUCAACUGAUUGGACAAGCCCCAAUCACAUUAUGAAACGUCAUCUGCUUUACUAAAGUCUACUAAUUUAAAUGUUAGUCAAAACUAAAAAGUAUCUUCACAGCAGCAUCUGGACUGGUAUCUGACCAAAAACUAGGUACCAUGGUCUAGCCACAUUUACAUAAAAUUAACCAUCACAAUAGUCAUAAGAUUUGGUUUUCUCUUACUGAAAUGCGGUAUAAUUGGGAUUUAUUCAAAUCUUCUUUUAUAUCCAUCCAUAAAGUUUUGUAAUUUUUCCUUAUUGGCCUAACAAUUCCUGUAAAGAUUAUUUGUAAGUAGUUAAUAAUUUUUGUAAUCAUGAUGAGUUUAACACUUUUAUUUUAUUACAUGUGCUCAUAUGUUGUUGCUGACACUAAGAAACCUAUAGGUCAAAAGAUGCAAACUAGGGCCACAUGAGCACGGCAGCACCCAGCCAGGACUCUGCUGCAGCUGCCGUUUGUAGAUGGAGCUCUCUGUCUCCAAAGAAGCACAGGCCUGUUGUUCUUCUGGUUGUGCUACAGUAAAAUGAACCUGGGUUUUCUGAACAUGUGGUUGAAUGUCAGUUGCUACCUAUCGUUUCACUUGUGAUAUUGAUUUUAUUAAUCUUAAAGUUAUGUGAAUGUUAACUAUUUCUCAUAUCUAUAUCUUAUUCAAAAUCUGGGAAAAUAAAAGACUAAGGAAAAUAAAUCUUUUUUUCUCUAAAGAGA